GCCUGCAGCUUGCAAAAGUACCUGGUUAUUUUUAUUCCUUUGAUACUUGAUCUACUAUCAAAAUAACUGAUUUUUUUUCUCUUUAACUCCUUAGGAAUCCCCAAAAAACCUGCCACAGGUGAGGCACUGCCAAAAGCCCCCUCAGUUGCCCAUGCACAGGAGGGGUCGGGUCACCGCUUGCGCAGCCCUACAACUGCAGCUAUGUGUGGUGCAGGGUUUCUCCUGAAGACGUGAGGGUUUUGUCCUGCCCUGCGUGGGUUUUGCAAUCCAGAUACUCAGGAACAUCUUUGCUGACGACGUAUCUCGGGCUCUCACUUGUGCUUGUCCUGGCCAUCCUUGUACACGAAGUGUCUGCAUGUGUUCAGCUGGAAGAUGAUGGGGUGAGUGUGCAUAUGGAGGUGAUUCUGGAGAUGGAUGGGUGCAAUCCUACCAGCCCUGCCAAUAUUUGCAACUUGAAACGUUGGGGGAGGGACUUUUUAUCAGGGAGUGCAGUGAUAGGACAAGGAGUAAUGGUUUUAAACUGAAAGAGGGGAGAUUUAGAUUAGAUAUUAGGAAGAAAUUCUUUACUGUGAGGAUGGUGAGACCCUGGAACAGGUUUCCCAGAGAAGGUGUGUCUGCCCCAUCCCUAGAGGGGUUCAAUCCCCUGGCAGGGGGAUUGGAACUCGAUGAUCUUUAAGGUCCCCUCCAACUCUAACCAUUCUGUGAUUCUAUGAUUAUGUAUUUACAGCAAGACAUGACCAUAAGAGGGGUUUUAUAACCAGCUGGUUAACAAGUGCUCCUUCCCAGCAUGGCUGCUUCCAGAAAUCUCCAGGUUUCGACCUGCUGGCUAUUUCAAGUAAGUCUCAAUUUAUAUAUUUUCUUUUCAUAAGCUCUCCAUGGCCAAGCUGUGACAGCUGAGGGAAACCUGCUCAGUCUUUCAGUAUUAAGAUCUCAAUUAUCAGAGGACUGGCUUCUUCCACAGGAUUGUGUGUGUGUGUGUGUUGGGACUCCUUAAAGUCUUUUCAGAGCUGAAGCAUAAGCGGGGACUCAGCUUGGUGUGGUAUUGGGGGCUCUGAAAAAAAAUGCCAGGAGGGAAAGUCCAACCUCGAUUUUUGUCAUUUAAUGCCAC
This 1108-nucleotide long non-coding RNA is filed under the name Calidris pugnax (ruff). Its description in RNAcentral is "lncRNA (ENSCPUG00000006900.1)". Lineage: Eukaryota; Metazoa; Chordata; Aves; Charadriiformes; Scolopacidae. The record is from RNAcentral.